UUUGAUCUGAAAUCAGGCGGGUACCCGCGA
Molecule: ribosomal RNA, 30 nt
Filed under: Mucor circinelloides
Lineage: Eukaryota; Fungi; Mucoromycota; Mucoromycetes; Mucorales; Mucoraceae
Description: partial 28S ribosomal RNA
Source: RNAcentral